This 1545-nucleotide unclassified non-coding RNA is filed under the name Hevea brasiliensis (rubber tree). The record is from RNAcentral. Lineage: Eukaryota; Viridiplantae; Streptophyta; Magnoliopsida; Malpighiales; Euphorbiaceae.
AAAAAAUCGUUAAUGGUGGUUCCAGAGCCUAUUCGUAAUGACCCUUUUCCUGAAAAUCGCCGUGAAGACGAUGCUGGUGCUGCUUUUGUUCUUGAAUCAAAAGGGGAAUGGUGGCAUGCUGGAUUUCAUUUGACGACGGCGAUAGUAGGACCAACGGUGCUGACAUUGCCGUAUGCUUUCAGAGGUUUAGGAUGGGCAUUGGGGUUUAUUUGUUUAACGGUGAUGGGUUUGGUUACCUUUUACUCAUAUUAUCUCAUGUCUUUGGUUCUUGAUCACUGUGAGAAGUCUGGUCGCCGGCAUAUCAGAUUCAGAGAACUUGCUGCUGAUGUUUUAGGUUCUGGCUGGAUGUUUUAUUUUGUGAUAUUCAUUCAGACAGCAGUUAACACUGGCAUUAGCAUAGGAGCAAUUUUGCUUGCCGGAGAAUGCGUUCAGAUCAUGUACUCCGAACUUUCACCACAUGGGCCACUGAAAUUGUAUCACUUCAUUGCAAUGGUUACAGUAAUAAUGAUAUGUCUCUCUCAAUUUCCGUCCUUCCACUCCCUGAGGCACAUCAACUUAGCAUCGUUGUUUCUGAGCUUGGGCUACACUUUCCUAGUUGUUGGUGCUUGUAUUCGUGCUGGUACUUCAAAAAAUGCACCUCUGAGGGAUUACUCCUUAGAAACCUCACACCUAUCACGGUUAUUUAGCGCUUUCACGUCUAUCUCCAUUAUUGCAGCUAUUUUUGGGAAUGGAAUACUACCAGAAAUACAGGCAACUCUCGCGCCACCAGCAACAGGAAAGAUGUUGAAAGGCCUUAUGUUGUGCUACUCUGUAAUCUUGGUUACUUUCUACGCUGCAUCUGUUUCCGGAUAUUGGGUUUUUGGAAACAAAUCCAAUUCAAACAUUUUAAAGAGCUUAAUGCCAGAUGAAGGACCUUCCUUGGCACCGACAUGGGUAUUAGGUCUUGCGAUUGUCUUUAUUCUUCUUCAGCUCUUCGCCAUUGGUUUGGUAUAUUCUCAAGUUGCUUACGAAAUCAUGGAAAAGAACUCGGCUGAUGCAAACAAGGCUGUGUUCUCUCUUAGAAACCUAAUCCCCCGUAUAAUCCUCAGAACGUUGUACAUGAGCCUUUGCGGGUUCUUUGCAGCUAUGUUGCCAUUCUUUGGUGACAUUAACGGUGUUGUAGGAGCCGUUGGCUUUAUACCUCUCGAUUUCAUUCUCCCAAUGCUACUUUACAACAUAACUUUCAAACCAAAGAAAUCAUCUAUUACCUUUUGGGUAAAUACUUCUAUAAUGGUUAUAUUCUCUUGUGCUGGUCUUCUUGGAUCCUUUUCUUCUAUAAGAAAAUUGGUUCUAGAUGCCAAUAAAUUCAAGCUUUUUAGUAGCGACGUUGUUGAUUAGCCUCUUUGUUUUAGAUGACAAAUGUAUACUAUUGUGCUUAAGCCAUAUGUAUGAAAGUUGUUGAUAGUGAGGUUCCCUACAACCCGACCCCAACUAGCUUGGGAUUGAAGCGUAGUUGUUGUUUAUAUGUAUAGAAGUUGUAUAUCUAUCGAAUUGCGUGAAUAUAUG